RNAcentral lists this ribosomal RNA (546 nucleotides) under uncultured bacterium. RNAcentral's name for it is "bacterial SSU rRNA". It matches the Rfam family "Bacterial small subunit ribosomal RNA", at positions 340 to 877 of the family's 1533-position model. The record is from RNAcentral.
UACGGGAGGCAGCAGUAGGGAAUCUUCGGCAAUGGACGAAAGUCUGACCGAGCAACGCCGCGUGAGUGAAGAAGGUUUUCGGAUCGUAAAACUCUGUUGUUAGAGAAGAACAAGGACGUUAGUAACUGAACGUCCCCUGACGGUAUCUAACCAGAAAGCCACGGCUAACUACGUGCCAGCAGCCGCGGUAAUACGUAGGUGGCAAGCGUUGUCCGGAUUUAUUGGGCGUAAAGCGAGCGCAGGCGGUUUCUUAAGUCUGAUGUGAAAGCCCCCGGCUCAACCGGGGAGGGUCAUUGGAAACUGGGAGACUUGAGUGCAGAAGAGGAGAGUGGAAUUCCAUGUGUAGCGGUGAAAUGCGUAGAUAUAUGGAGGAACACCAGUGGCGAAGGCGGCUCUCUGGUCUGUAACUGACGCUGAGGCUCGAAAGCGUGGGGAGCAAACAGGAUUAGAUACCCUGGUAGUCCACGCCGUAAACGAUGAGUGCUAAGUGUUGGAGGGUUUCCGCCCUUCAGUGCUGCAGCAAACGCAUUAAGCACUCCGCCUGGG